ACGGAGGGAGCUAGCGUUGUUCGGAAUUACUGGGCGUAAAGCGCAUGUAGACGGCAUAGCAAGCCAAGGGUGAAAGUUAGGGGCUUAACCUCUAAACUGCGUUUGAGACUGCUGAGCUUGAGUGCAGGAGAGGAAAGUGGAAUUCCCAGUGUAGAAGUGAAAUUCGUAGAUAUUCGGAGGAACACCAGUGGCGAAGGCGACUUGCUGGACUGGUAUUGACGCUGAGAUGCGAAAGCGUGGGGAGCAAACGG
RNAcentral lists this ribosomal RNA (251 nucleotides) under uncultured prokaryote. RNAcentral describes it as "partial 16S rRNA". It matches the Rfam family "Bacterial small subunit ribosomal RNA", at positions 525 to 775 of the family's 1533-position model. The record is from RNAcentral.